AUCAACUUUCGAUGGUAGGAUAGAGGCCUACCAUGGUGGUAACGGGUAACGGGGUGUUAGGGCACGACACCGGAGAGGGAGCCUGAGAAACGGCUACCACAUCCAAGGAUGGCAGCAGGCGCGCAAAUUACCCAAUCCCGACACGGGGAGGUAGUGACAAUAAAUAACAAUACGGGGUUCUUUCGGAUCUCGUAAUUGGAAUGAGUACAAUUUAAAUCUCUUAACGAGGAACAAUUGGAGGGCAAGUCUGGUGCCAGCAGCCGCGGUAAUUCCAGCUCCAAUAGCGUAUAUUAAAGUUGUUGCAGUUAAAAAGCUCGUAGUUGGAUUUCGGGAUCGAAUUGUUGGUCGUGCUUCGGUACGCACUGGCAUUAUCGGUUUCUACCUUCUGAAGAACCGCGAUGUCAUUAAUUUGGUGUCGUGGGGAAUCAGGACUGCUACUUUGAAAAAAUUAGAGUGUUUAAAGCAGGCUUACGCUUGAAUACAUUAGCAUGGAAUAAUGAAAUAGGACGUUUGAUUCUAUUUUGUUGGUUUUUAGGAUCGACGUAAUGAUUAAUAGGGAUAGUUGGGGGCAUUAGUAUUCAAUUGUCAGAGGUGAAAUUCUUGGAUUUAUUGAAGACUAACUACUGCGAAAGCAUUUGCCAAGGAUGUUUUCAUUAAUCAAGAACGAAAGUUAGGGGAUCGAAGACGAUCAGAUACCGUCGUAGUCUUAACCAUAAACUAUGCCGACUAGGGAUCGGAUGAUGUUAAUUUUAUAAUGACUCAUUCGGCGCCUUACGGGAAACCAAAGUGUUUGGGUUC
Molecule: ribosomal RNA, 798 nt
Filed under: uncultured Glomeraceae
Lineage: Eukaryota; Fungi; Glomeromycota; Glomeromycetes; Glomerales; Glomeraceae
Description: SSU rRNA
Rfam family: Eukaryotic small subunit ribosomal RNA
Source: RNAcentral